GAUGAACGCUAGCGGCAGGCCUAAUACAUGCAAGUCGAGGGGUAGAAGAGGCUUGCUUCUUUGAGACCGGCGCACGGGUGCGUAACGCGUAUGCAACCUACCUUCAUCUGGGGGAUAGCCCGGAGAAAUCCGGAUUAAUACCGCAUAAAAUCACAGGAUGGCAUUAUCCAAUGAUCAAACAUUUAUGGGAUGGAGAUGGGCAUGCGUGUCAUUAGCUAGUUGGCGGGGUAACGGCCCACCAAGGCGACGAUGACUAGGGGAUCUGAGAGGAUGGCCCCCCACACGUGUACUGAGACACAGACCAGACUCAUACGGGAGGCAGCAGUAAGGAAUAUUGGUCAAUGGAGGCAACUCUUAACCAGCCAUGCCGCGUGCAGGAAGACUGCCCUAUGGGUUGUAAACUGCUUUUAUUCGGGAAUAAACCUUAUUACGUGUAAUAAGCUGAAUGUACCGAAGGAAUAAGGAUCGGCUAACUCCGUGCCAGCCGCCGCUGUAA
This 496-nucleotide ribosomal RNA is filed under the name uncultured bacterium. RNAcentral describes it as "partial 16S ribosomal RNA". It matches the Rfam family "Bacterial small subunit ribosomal RNA", at positions 28 to 523 of the family's 1533-position model. The record is from RNAcentral.